GCUUGCAAAUAUCAUUAAUAGGUUAACAUACCCUUCUGAACAUGUCAUCAUGUCAGCCUCUCUGUCAUUUUAAGAUGGAGCAGCGUCUGUCUCCAAGUCUCUCCUCUGUUUUUUAACAUUUAAAAGUACACCUAUUUAUACCUUAGGUGUCUUCAUUUUAGGGUCACCGUAGUUCAUAUUUGAAAAAGUAACACUUCUUUUACUUUAUUCAUUUUAGGACCUCCCUUAAUUUGGCAAACAUACAAGGCCAUAACUAAAGGCUGCAUACGUCAUGGAAAUUUUCCUGACUUAGUUCAAGAUGGCAAUCUUAAAGUCUGAAUAGCUUAUCUGUUGUUUAUACUAAGACGUAAGUGUACAGGGAGAUUCCUGAAUUUGGGGAAGUUCCAUUAACUUGGGGUUAUCACAGUAUAUUGUGUACUGAAAGAGGAAUAGUAUAGCCUUAGAAACAUAGAAACAUAGAAUGUGAUGGCAGAUAAGAACCAUUCGGCCCAUCUAGUCUGCCCAAUUUUCUAAAUACUUUCAUUAGUCCCUAGCCUUAUCUUAUAGUUCGGAUAGCCUUAUGCCUAUCCCACGCAUGCUUAAACUCCUUUACUGUGUUAACC
This is a non-coding RNA of Pelobates cultripes (western spadefoot toad), 602 nucleotides long. The record is from the annotation of a GenBank genome assembly. NCBI's taxonomy places the organism in Eukaryota, Metazoa, Chordata, Amphibia, Anura, Pelobatidae.